AAAGGGAGACCUAAUUCGGGUAUAAGACGAAAAAAUAGUAGUCGAAACCAAGAAUCAAUCCCAAAAGGUCGGAACGAGGUAUGUGGCUUUCAAACUAGGUUCUGGGUUCAUAAAAGACCUGAAUCAGGAACAAGGGCUAUUAGCUCAGGUGGUUAGAGCGCACCCCUGAUAAGGGUGAGGUCCCUGGUUCGAGUCCAGGAUGGCCCACCUGCACAGGUGGUAAAAACAAGAGAAGCGAGGAAUCAGCACCUUAUCUUACUUACAUAGUAAGAGAGAAUGCUGGCUCUGAGUAAAGAGUCCAGAGGAACCUUGAAAACUGCAUAGAGCUAGGUGAAAAAGCCAAAAAAGAAGGCCGCAAG
RNAcentral lists this transfer RNA (359 nucleotides) under uncultured Microcystis sp. RNAcentral's name for it is "partial 16S-23S ribosomal RNA intergenic spacer". The stretch from base 134 to 207 matches the Rfam family "tRNA". The record is from RNAcentral. Lineage: Bacteria; Bacillati; Cyanobacteriota; Cyanophyceae; Chroococcales; Microcystaceae.